UGGGCAACCUGCCCUCAGCUCUGGGAUAACCCCGGGAAACCGGGGCUAAUACCGGAUACGACCUCCGCGGGCAUCUGCGGAGGUGGAAAGGUUUUCCGGCUGAGGAUGGGCCCGCGGCCUAUCAGCUAGUUGGUGGGGUGAUGGCCCACCAAGGCGACGACGGGUAGCCGGCCUGAGAGGGCGACCGGCCACACUGGGACUGAGAUACGGCCCAGACUCCUACGGGAGGCA
This 231-nucleotide ribosomal RNA is filed under the name uncultured bacterium. Its description in RNAcentral is "partial 16S ribosomal RNA". It matches the Rfam family "Bacterial small subunit ribosomal RNA", at positions 118 to 350 of the family's 1533-position model. The record is from RNAcentral.